RNAcentral lists this ribosomal RNA (136 nucleotides) under Ligilactobacillus salivarius. RNAcentral's name for it is "partial 16S ribosomal RNA". It matches the Rfam family "Bacterial small subunit ribosomal RNA", at positions 1 to 118 of the family's 1533-position model. Lineage: Bacteria; Bacillati; Bacillota; Bacilli; Lactobacillales; Lactobacillaceae. The record is from RNAcentral.
UAAAUUGAGAGUUUGAUCCUGGCUCAGGACGAACGCUGGCGGCGUGCCUAAUACAUGCAAGUCGAACGAAACUUUCUUACACCGAAUGCUUGCAUUCACCGUAAGAAGUUGAGUGGCGGACGGGUGAGUAACACGU